AUUGAACGCCGGCGGCAGGCCUAACACAUGCAAGUCGUGCGGAUGAAGGGAGCUUGCUCUUGGAUUCAGCGGAGGACGGGUGUGUAAUGCCUAUAAAUCGGCCUGGUAGUGGGGGUUAACGUCGGGAAAUGGUCGCUAAUCCCGCAUACGUCUUGAGGGAGAAAGUGGGGGAUCUUCGGACCCCACGCUAUCAGAUGAGCCUAGGUCGGAUUAGCUAGUUGGUGGGGUAAAGGCCUACCAAGGCGACGAUCCGUAACUGGUCUGAGAGGAUGAACAGUCACACUGAGAGUGAGAGACGGUCCAGGGUCCUACGGGAGGCAGAAGUGGGGAAUAUUGGACGCUGGGCGGAAGACUGAUCCAUCCGUGCAACGUGUGUGAAGAAGGUCUUCGGAUUGUAAAACAGUUUAAGUUGGGAGGAAGGGCAGUAAGAUAAUACAUUCCUGUUUUGACGUUACCAGCAGAAUAAGCACCGGCUAACUUCGUG
This 484-nucleotide ribosomal RNA is filed under the name uncultured bacterium. RNAcentral's name for it is "partial 16S ribosomal RNA". It matches the Rfam family "Bacterial small subunit ribosomal RNA", at positions 30 to 507 of the family's 1533-position model. The record is from RNAcentral.